RNAcentral lists this unclassified non-coding RNA (3438 nucleotides) under Leishmania donovani. RNAcentral describes it as "gene:LdHU3.01.0050(CDS-product:Kinesin-13_1_putat ive)". The record is from RNAcentral. Lineage: Eukaryota; Euglenozoa; Kinetoplastea; Trypanosomatida; Trypanosomatidae.
CACCCCUUCGCCUCCUUACCAUCUGAGAGCAAGGCGAGUGACGGCGAGUACGAGUACACACACACAUACAAAUACACAGACACACACGCAUGCAUGCACACAGGUACACACGUCCUCCUUCCGUUGUCUGUGUCCCUCUCUCUCCCUCCUCGCUUCCAUCAUCAUACAGAGGCGUUCGCACGACGCACCGCCGCACUUCUUAUUUCAGAUCCCUCAUCUGCACCACGAGGCGCCUUUCCAUGCGCACGCACGCGCAUCAUCGUCUCCGUCCCUUUCCUUCUCCGUGUCCUCCUCCGUCACUGCCAGCUGCCUGAGCGCGAAGCGAGCAAGUGCGCCGACUGUCAGUCACCGCCUCCUCGACUCCCCGCUCGUCUUCUCUCUACAUCGGUGGCGGAAAAGGACCCGCGGCACCCACGUCGCUUCGGCUGCUUCCUCGCCUCUCUCUCUGCCCAUCUUAGACUCUUUCUUCGUUGACGCCCCACUCCCCUUUCCUCGUGAAGCGGCCGUAGAUUUGUGUGCGUGGCGGCCAGAGCGUCGCAGAUGAUGUCGGCCGAGCCGCCGUCGUCGCAGCCGUACAUCAGCGACGUGCUGCGGCGGUACCAGCUGGAGCGCUUUCAGAGUUCCUUUGCAUCGAGCAUGACCAUCAAGGACCUCCUCGCCCUGCAGCCGGAGGACUUCAACCGCUACGGCGUCGUAGAGGCAAUGGACAUUUUGCGGCUGCGCGAUGCCAUCGAGUACAUCAAGGCCAACCCGCUCCCCGCCUCGCGCUCCGGCAGUGACGUGCUCGACAACGACGGCGACGGCGACGGCGACGACAGUACGCCGGAGGGGAAGGAGGGGUGCUCGACGGAGCGCCGACGGCAGUACACAGCACGAGGAACCACCGUCCUUUGCGGGUCGACCGACACCGCCGAGGAGGUGAAGCGCAAGAGCCGCAUCAUCGUCGCCAUUCGCAAGCGUCCGCUCAGCGCCGGGGAGCAGACGAACGGCUUCACGGACAUCAUGGACGCCGACAACAACGGCGAGAUUGUGCUGAAGGAGCCAAAGGUGAAGGUCGACCUCCGCAAGUACACCCACGUGCACCGCUUCUUCUUCGACGAGGUUUUCGACGAGGCGUGCGACAACGUCGACGUGUACAACCGCGCUGCCCGCGCGCUGAUCGACACCGUCUUCGACGGCGGCUGCGCGACAUGCUUCGCCUAUGGGCAGACAGGGAGCGGCAAGACACACACGAUGCUCGGCAAGGGCCCCGAGCCGGGCCUGUACGCACUCGCCGCCAAAGACAUGUUUGACCGCCUCACGAGCGACACGCGCAUCGUUGUUUCCUUUUACGAGAUCUACAGCGGGAAGCUCUUUGACUUGCUGAACGGCCGGCGACCACUGCGAGCCCUCGAGGACGACAAGGGGAGGGUGAACAUCCGCGGCCUCACCGAACACUGCUCUACCAGCGUGGAGGACCUUAUGACGAUCAUCGACCAGGGCAGCGGCGUUCGCAGCUGCGGCUCCACCGGCGCCAACGACACGAGCUCCCGCUCCCACGCCAUUCUCGAGAUCAAGCUCAAGGCGAAACGGACGUCGAAGCAGAGCGGCAAGUUCACAUUCAUCGACCUCGCUGGAAGCGAGCGCGGCGCCGACACGGUGGAUUGCGCGCGACAGACACGCCUCGAAGGGGCGGAGAUUAACAAGAGCCUACUCGCUCUGAAGGAGUGCAUUCGUUUUUUAGAUCAGAACAGGAAGCACGUCCCGUUCCGCGGCUCGAAGCUGACUGAGGUGCUCCGCGACUCGUUUAUCGGCAACUGCCGCACGGUGAUGAUCGGCGCCGUCUCUCCGUCCAACAACAAUGCCGAGCACACGCUGAACACGUUGCGCUACGCCGAUCGCGUCAAGGAGCUGAAGCGCAACGCCACGGAGCGGCGCACCGUGUGCGUGCCCAACGACCAGGAAGAGGCCUUCUUUGACACGACCGAGAGCAGGCCACCGUCGCGGAGGACGACAACUCGGCUUUCUGCGGCCGCCCCGCUUUUCUCCGGCACUUCGACGGCUGCCCCAGCAUGUAAAAGCACGUUGCUCAGCAGCCGCUCCGUCAACACACUCUCGCCGUCGUCGCAGGGCAAGUCGACUCUCGUCACCCCGAAGCCACUGUCGCGCGAUCGGACUCCGGACAUGGUGUGCGCUAAGCGGCCCCGCGACUCAGACCGAAGCGGCGAAGACGAAGUGGUGGCGCGGCCGAGUGGGCGCCCAAGCUUCAAGCGCUUCGAGGGCGGCGCCGAGCUCGUGGCGGCCCAGCGCAGUCGUGUCAUUGACCAAUACAACGCCUACCUCGAGACGGACAUGAACUGUAUCAAGGAGGAGUACCAGGUGAAGUACGACGCAGAGCAGAUGAACGCCAACACGCGCACCUUUGUCGAGCGCGCACGCCUGCUGGUGAGCGAGAAGCGGCGCGCGAUGGAGUCCUUCCUAACGCAGCUGGACGAGCUCGAUAAGAUCGCGCAGCAGGUCGCCAGCAUCACCGCCUUUCAGCAGCACCUGCCGCCAACGCAGCCGUCUUCAUCGUCCUUUUAGGUAUCGCUCUUUCUUUUUCUUGUUGUCGGUGUUCGCUGCGCGUUUUGCGCAUGUGUCUCUCACUGUUUUUUUUUUCCAUGUGUGUCUGUGCGUGUAUGUGAGUGCGUGUGCGUUUGGCCAUCAACACCGGUGCUGCCGUGCAGGUGCUUCGUUCGAGGCGCUGUAUGAUGCUUCCGGUCCUUUGCCGGCUUUGGUGGGCUCAAGCCCUCUCUGUUCGUGGUGACCGCUCUCGUGUUUUCGGUCGCCGCUGUUUUAGACUGGGGCGCUCUCUUUCAUCGCUUUCGCUCCCCUCUUUCCGUUUUCGCUCUCUUGUGCCCUCUGCCUGUCUGUCCGUGUGUGUGCGUGUGGCGUACCGUUCGGUUUUUUUCUCUCCUAUCAUGUUAGACGUAGAUGCAACUCCCCUCCCUCCCCCACUGCCUCAGCCGCAGCCCCACGCAGCUGCAGUCGAUGGCCGUUGCUCCUCUUCUUUCUUGGCCUCAUCGAUUCGGGCGGUGCUUUUGUGUACUGGAUGUGUGGGUGCUGCUUCAUCAUCCAUGCGGACAUUCUUUCUGCGUGCCCCGUGCGACCCCUCACUCUCUACCUCUCUGCAUCUGUCCAUGAGCAACGUCUGUAUCCAGCACUGGCAACAACAGUGCCGCUGGCCUCUGUACCAUCCAGCUCUCCGACGCACGUCCAGCUCCAGCGGCUUAGAAACAGACCUCCCCGCUGUUGCCCACGACAAUACGCUUGUGGAGAGGCGGUCGCGAACAAGUCGUUGCCUCCCUCUCUCUCCAUGUAUAUGUGCCUGUGCGUGUGUGUCUGUGAUGGCAUACGUUUUAGCUCUGUCCCGUUCUUGAUGUUUUUAUGUCGUCUCUUCGGCUUCUCGCUCCCUCUCUC